AAUAAGGUAAAUUGAUGAAAAAGUGCUCAUCUUAACAUUGGAAUAUGACAGAUAUUAUGGCUGCAUAAUCUAUUGUAAAUCAGACAUAAAAAAUAAAGGGGGUUAAGUCAGAACCAGUAUCUUUUUAAAGAACAGAUACAUGUGAUAAAGUCCCUGAGUCCAUACACACAAUACAGAACAAAGUCAUCCUUUCCAACCAAACUAACAUUGGCAGUGGCCUCAGGGAACACAAAGGGCUCUGCUCUGAGGCACCUGAGGAGAAAGCCAGGAUGCCCCACCUUCCAACUUACUUGUGAAGAGGAUGAGAAUAAGGCUGAAUUUAUCCAGGUCAAAAUUUGGGUUCGAGAACGUGUCACAGAAGGUUGUGUAGAUGAUCAUGAGGAGCACGCUGCUGCUGACAGCACCAAAAGGAGGUUUCCUUCUUUCAAGCCAAUCCUUGAUGUACCUCCGGACAAUCUGAAACAGAGACCAACAGGUUGCCUCCUUUCAGAGACGGAGGGAGUUGCAUGGGGCAGCCCAAAGUGAUUCUGACAGCAGAAAGACAUCAAGGCAAGAGCAUCAUUUGGAUGAUGGCCACAGAGGAUUUCAAAGCCUCCCCGCCACACCACGCUUCUUCUGGGGAAUGUAACAUUUGUAGUGCAACCUCCACUGGUGUCCAUAAUGAGAGUAUAUUUUCAACUGCAUUCAAAUCCACCCUUAAUCAUGCCAAAUGCUCUUUGCUAGCUGUCACUGAGACGUGCCCAUUAAGCCUCCCCAAAGUUUAUCUCCUCUGCUGCUCCUAAUGGAUGUGUGUAAUUAUCACAGUCCCCUUUGCCUCAACAGACAAUUCCAAGUGCAACUUUGGGAAUCUUAAAAAUCUGACAUCUUCAAGAAUUUCAAGACGGUAGAUAAUCGAAAGUGAUCCAUGGAACAUAUGAAUAUUUAAAAUGCUAGCAAUGCACCAGAAGUUUUUAAUUAAAUUAUAACUCAUGCUUGAAAAGCAAAAGUGCAUGUGUUGUGGGAGUUUAAAUAAUUCAAACUCUGACUAUCUGGAGUUUUUGUGAAUCCAAAGACAAAUGCCAUUUGCAUGUUUUUAGAAUUCCAGAAUUUACACUUAAAAAUGAAUCAACCUGUCCUAACUUUCCUCCAAAAGGCUGAGUGAAAUACGAAGUCAUAUUUGGCAGUCCCUUCUUAUUUUAAAAUCAAACCAGAGAUAUCAAAUUGGGACAGCCUGAAUAUUGGUGCAAACUUCAAGUUUGUAUAUAAAAGUGAACCACUCUAUUUAAAACCUUUUGGCUUUUGAAAGAAGCUGAACAAACCCGAUAAUGAGGACUACAGUUGAGACACAUUAAGUUUUGAGUCACUCAUUAUCCUGCAUAAUUGAACAUGAGAUUUCACAACAGGCUGAAUUACCAUGAUCCAUUAGCAAUAAUGAGGUCAGGGAACUUUGUCUGACAAGGCUGAUGGGGUUCUGUCAUCUUCUACUCUGUCACUAAAAAAGCCCUAAUUCACAACGAGGCAUAUGCCUUCACAGAUACUCAAGAACAAAUAAAUGACUCUCCAGAGAACCUGUGGACAAACGGCUAUUGGAUCAACUUCCUCCAGCCUCAAGGACUCAGUAAGUGAAAUAAGCAAUGAAAUGGAGCCCCGGCAGAGAGCAGACCGCACCAGGUAAACUGAACCCCUGUACUUCUAAUAAGUUGAGCCAAAUGUCAAAGACUGCAUAACCUCCAAGCUGAACCCCUGGAAAAAUAACACCUCUUGGGUGAAGAAGGUUGAUAAGCAGAAAAAUGUCGGAAACAGCAACUCCCAACCACCUAUGGAAAGACUAAACUCAUCUCAUAGAUUCACAGCAUCUUCAGGCUGAAAGCUAUUAAACUCCUGGUCCAACAAAUGAGCCUGGAAGUCACAUGUAUGGCCAGGCAGUGGCAAAGGCCAAACUAGACCUCAUGUCACAUCACAGCUAGUCAAUAAUGAUUUCAACCAAAAAGAAAUUACUGUCUGGAGAAAACAGAAAUAAAAUAAAGUCCACUCUCAGAUGGAGGAU
Molecule: long non-coding RNA, 2026 nt
Organism: Phacochoerus africanus (Common warthog)
Lineage: Eukaryota; Metazoa; Chordata; Mammalia; Artiodactyla; Suidae
Exons: 3
Source: RefSeq, a predicted model, not a curated record